CCCAGCAAUGGGCAACCGGCGAACGGGUGCGUAGCACGUGAGCAACCUACCGAACUGUGGGGGAUAGCCGGCCUAACGGCCGAGUAAUACCGCAUACGCUUUCGAUGAGGCAUUUCAUUGAAAGGAAACCUACGGGACAGAUCGAGGGGCUCGCGGCCUAUCAGCUAGUUGGCGAGGUAACGGCUCACCAAGGCGACGACGGGUAGCUGGUCUGAGAGGGUGUCCGGCCACACUGGGACUGAGAUACGGCCCAGACUCCUACGGGAGGCAGCAGUGGGGAAUAUUGCACAAUGGGCGCAAGCCUGAUGCAGCGACGCCGCGUGGGGGAUGACGGCCUUCGGG
This 342-nucleotide ribosomal RNA is filed under the name uncultured bacterium. RNAcentral's name for it is "bacterial SSU rRNA". It matches the Rfam family "Bacterial small subunit ribosomal RNA", at positions 72 to 422 of the family's 1533-position model. The record is from RNAcentral.